RNAcentral lists this ribosomal RNA (281 nucleotides) under Blautia luti. RNAcentral's name for it is "partial 16S ribosomal RNA". It matches the Rfam family "Bacterial small subunit ribosomal RNA", at positions 524 to 804 of the family's 1533-position model. The record is from RNAcentral. Lineage: Bacteria; Bacillati; Bacillota; Clostridia; Lachnospirales; Lachnospiraceae.
UACGUAGGGGGCAAGCGUUAUCCGGAUUUACUGGGUGUAAAGGGAGCGUAGACGGAUGGACAAGUCUGAUGUGAAAGGCUGGGGCUCAACCCCGGGACUGCAUUGGAAACUGCCCGUCUUGAGUGCCGGAGAGGUAAGCGGAAUUCCUAGUGUAGCGGUGAAAUGCGUAGAUAUUAGGAGGAACACCAGUGGCGAAGGCGGCUUACUGGACAGUAACUGACGUUGAGGCUCGAAAGCGUGGGGAGCAAACAGGAUUAGAUACCCUGGUAGUCCGCUCUGAU